Molecule: long non-coding RNA, 492 nt
Filed under: Homo sapiens (human)
Lineage: Eukaryota; Metazoa; Chordata; Mammalia; Primates; Hominidae
Description: non-protein coding lnc-SMOC2-6:2
Source: RNAcentral
AUCUUAAUGCGUUCUCCUGCACUGGAGGGAGAAGCUGCUAAUGCAAGCUCAGCCCUCCUGUGCAGCUCGUAAUGAGGCAGGCCCCUCAGUCCCCUCUGCUCCCCAAGACCAGCCCCACAGCUGGGCAGUUGUUGCAAUGUGACACACUUGGACACGUAGCUGAGACGUUAUUUUGAAAAUGAAGAACCAAUAUUUUUCUUACUUAUAAAAGCAGUCCUGCUUCUCAAAGGAGACACCAAUCCUGGAAGACCUGGGACAAGGUAGAGAAGAGGUCUUCUCCCCUCAUGCCUUCAUGGAGAGGCUCAUGCUGCUAGACAUAGCAACCUCUGUCAGGAAAUGUCGCGUCUUCAGCCCUUCACGUAGGCAGGUUUGAUUCAGCGUCCUCGUGGCAUUUCCUGUUCCUGCCCACUUGUGCUCGCGCACGCGCGAUGGGGUCGGCCUUUCUGACAUCAGCUGUCUAACCGCUGGGAUACAGCAAACAUACAGCAAAGU